This 322-nucleotide ribosomal RNA is filed under the name uncultured eukaryote. RNAcentral describes it as "partial 18S ribosomal RNA". It matches the Rfam family "Eukaryotic small subunit ribosomal RNA", at positions 1470 to 1796 of the family's 1831-position model. The record is from RNAcentral.
CCCUUAGAUGUUCUGGGCCGCACGCGUGCUACACUGAGUGGAUCAGCGGGUCAGGUUGCGCGAAAGCGUUUCCUAAUCUUUAAAUCCGCUCGUGAUGGGGAUUGACGGUUGCAAUUUUCUGUCAUGAACGAGGAUUACCUUGUAAGCGCGGGUCAUCAUCCCGCGCUGAAUACGUCCCUGCCCUUUGUACACACCGCCCGUCGCUCCUACCGAUUGAGUGGUCCGGUGAGGCUUUGGGAUCUGAGCGGAAAGAGCGUUUCGCUGUUUCUGCUCGGAAAACUCAGUCGAACCUUAUCAUUUAGAGGAAGGAGAAGUCGUAACA